This 136-nucleotide small nucleolar RNA is filed under the name Otolemur garnettii (small-eared galago). RNAcentral describes it as "Small nucleolar RNA U3". It matches the Rfam family "Small nucleolar RNA U3". Rfam says of the family: Small nucleolar RNAs (snoRNAs) are involved in the processing and modification of rRNA in the nucleolus. There are two main classes of snoRNAs: the box C/D class, and the box H/ACA class. The record is from Rfam by way of RNAcentral. Lineage: Eukaryota; Metazoa; Chordata; Mammalia; Primates; Galagidae.
AAGACUAUACUUUCAGGGAUCAUUUCUAUAGUUCAUUACUAAAGAAUUCUCUCUGAAUGUGUAGAGCACUGGAGGCCCUGGUGCCUGAGCUCACUACCAGAAGUCCUACUGAAAAGCCCAUCAUGUGCGUUGGGGU